This 110-nucleotide non-coding RNA is filed under the name Streptomyces xiamenensis. RNAcentral's name for it is "SAM-IV sequence". It matches the Rfam family "SAM (S-adenosyl methionine) riboswitch aptamer". Rfam says of the family: SAM-IV is a mRNA element that regulates gene expression via direct sensing of S-adenosylmethionine (SAM or AdoMet). Lineage: Bacteria; Bacillati; Actinomycetota; Actinomycetes; Kitasatosporales; Streptomycetaceae. The record is from RNAcentral.
GGUCAAGAGCGCCAGCGCCAAGUCCCGGCUCGCUGGCCGGCAACCCUCCUGCACGGCGGGGUGCCCCCGGGACCGACGACCGGGCUGCGGUGAUGCGGCAAGCGUGCUCC